AAGCUUGCUUUUUAAGUUAGCGUUGGACGGGUGAGUAACACGUGGGCAACCUGCCUGUAAGACUGGGAUAACUUCGGGAAACCGGAGCUAAUACCGGAUAAUCCUUUUCUACUCAUGUAGAAAAGCUGAAAGACGGUUUACUCCUGUCACUUACAGAUGGGCCCGCGGCGCAUUAGCUAGUUGGUGAGGUAACGGCUCACCAAGGCGACGAUGCGUAGCCGACCUGAGAGGGUGAUCGGCCACACUGGGACUGAGACACGGCCCAGACUCCUACGGGAGGCAGCAGUAGGGAAUCUUCCGCAAUGGACGAAAGUCUGACGGAGCAACGCCGCGUGAGUGAUGAAGGUUUUCGGAUCGUAAAACUCUGUUGUUAGGGAAGAACAAGUACGAGAGUAACUGCUCGUACCUUGACGGUACCUAACCAGAAAGCCACGGCUAACUACGUGCCAGCAGCCGCGGUAAUACGUAGGUGGCAAGCGUUGUCCGGAAUUAUUGGGCGUAAAGCGCGCGCAGGCGGUCCUUUAAGUCUGAUGUGAAAGCCCACGGCUCAACCGUGGAGGGUCAUUGGAAACUGGGGGACUUGAGUGCAGAAGAGAAGAGUGGAAUUCCACGUGUAGCGGUGAAAUGCGUAGAGAUGUGGAGGAACACCAGUGGCGAAGGCGACUCUUUGGUCUGUAACUGACGCUGAGGCGCGAAAGCGUGGGGAGCAAACAGGAUUAG
Molecule: ribosomal RNA, 720 nt
Filed under: Bacillus benzoevorans
Lineage: Bacteria; Bacillati; Bacillota; Bacilli; Caryophanales; Bacillaceae
Description: bacterial SSU rRNA
Rfam family: Bacterial small subunit ribosomal RNA
Source: RNAcentral